AUGUUUCCAAGCAUAGUGCAUGGAGGUUACUUGGUAGUGUAUCACUGGUUUAGCCCUGAGGGCUAUAUCAGAUUGAGAUGUCUGAUGUUUUAAAGGUUAAGUCUGGUAAGUUUUCAGAAAAUGUUUAAACAGCUAGUAGUCAAGUCGGAUCACGUAUGGGAUGUUUGGAGUUCAGGUUAGGCUUGCUACGGGUUCUGGCGGCCUUAAGCCGAUCUGGAUCCUAGCGCCGAGCAGUUUGGGCCAUUACAGAGAGGUA
Molecule: long non-coding RNA, 256 nt
Filed under: Manihot esculenta (cassava)
Lineage: Eukaryota; Viridiplantae; Streptophyta; Magnoliopsida; Malpighiales; Euphorbiaceae
Description: long non-coding RNA (MESC_LNC001182)
Source: RNAcentral